CCUUCGCCCUGGAUCGUACUCCACACAUCCAUUGCAGAGUGAUAGAGUUUUCUUCUUGUCCUUCUUGUUGCCCACCCAGCACUCCAGGAUACUUCUUCUUUUGUUUUUGGAAUUGUUCCUUUCUUGGAUAAUGUCUUCCGUGUACUAUUCAUGAAGGUACUCUGCCCCCGUUUGCUCAAGGUGAGGACAUGGACCUAAGCUCCAUCAAUCACCUCCAGUGAUUAGAAUAUGAAAAUUCCCUGGAAUAUGAAAAUAGAAGUGGGUAAAGCUGGCGAUAGGGUGCGAUUUCCCGCAAUGAAACUGAAGACUGCGAACAGCUGAAUACGGCUCUGGAGGUCCCACGUGGCGGAGCUCCCAGCCUCAGCUCCCAACAGGGACAGAGAGAGACCUGCCUAACUUGGGGAAAGGCGGAAAAGUCGCCCAGAGGCGAGGUCUGCAGCGCCCAGAGUCCCCACUCUUACCCCAGAGACUGGAGGCAAAGACAGCAAAGAGCCAGAUCCGCUUUGAGGGAGAAAGAGCCUGCACCGGGAACCACUCACUUUCAUUGAUGGUUUAGGGUUGACCAACCAGACCGACUCCCCAGGCUGAGUUUAGGACAACUCCGACCCCUACUGGCCUGAACAGAUACUCGGGAUUCUUCGGAGAGCUGAGAGAGGAAAGGACCGGAGGAAAAGAACAUGAAAGACACUCAACCUUGUGCUCCAACCCAGGACCCGAGAAACUGCAUUCUCACCCAGCACGACAGAGCUUACCCAUGUGCCUUAGGAGAAGGCUAGAAUUGUGGAACCCCAGAACUGAUCUCUGCUGUCUCUUCUCCAGGAGGAGAAUAAAUGAUGGAGGACUUCACAAAGGAAUGACCCCCGCUGAUGGCUGACAUCCCCAGCAAUUAGAACAGAGGAGGAAACCUACAGGGCAGCAGAAGCCCUACAGACCCAAAUUGUGGGAGCAGGACCCACAUCAGGAACCUGAGCUGAGUCCACACUGAAAGCAGAGAACAGAGGGAGCAGAUGGAAGACUGGAUAUCAGCAGGUUUGGGGGAUGAGAAUAACACAAAGAAAGACAAGGCAAUGGUGGAGCACAUGGUUGCAAAAGAACAGAAGAAUAAGGACCAUUCGAGUUCAGAAAAAUCAGGGGAACCUGAGGAAUGAAUACACCAGCAUCCAACUCUGCAAGGAACUGCCUGAGCUGAGCACAGAGGACCAGGAGAGUAACUUAGUCCAUAGUGAACCUGUGCCCCUGCCGAGGAGCCCCACAGGACAGAUUGGGAUUUGUUUGUACUGCUGGAAACACCCAGUUCUCAGAGGAGGAGGAUGCGACCAUGAAGCUCUGCCCCAGUCCCCUAGUUUCAACCUUGGAGCUGCCUUCAUGGUGGAGGUCUUCCAAGAAAGUGUGGGCUUAGAGGGAUCAAGGAUGUUUGGAUAAGGGUUGGAGAUGUCCAUUCUUACUGCAGGGAGUUAUGCCCUUACAAAUCUGACCCUAAUCAUGGCUCUAGGUGCCAAAUAACAAAGCAAACCACUUACUUCCAUUGGUUGUACAGAAACAGGAUGCUCUUAAUGCACAUAACUGGAAAGUUACUCUGCCUGUAGGGUUAUGCAAUAGAACAGAUAACUUGGGCAGUGGCCCAAGAAGGGGAUGGGUUGAGUUUGUGACAGUGUCUCGUAGGUCUUGGAGAAGAAGGUUUGGGGCUUGAAGUUGCAGGUGGGCUGGCUCAUGGUAAUAUUACACAAUCUUGGGAAAACAUGUCUAGCACAAUUUUGGAUUCAAUGGACACUAAAUGUUUAGUCCAUGAACUGCAGUCAUUCUUUCACAGAUUAUCCACUAUUGGCUUCAAACAAAAGUGACUUUUCUAUUCAUAGAUACCAAGGAGCACCUGGGUGGCUCAGUCAGUGAAGCAUCUGACUCUUGGUUUCAGCUCAGUCAUGAGCUGGUGGUAGUGGGAUCAACACUGAGUUGGGCUCCAUGCUCAGCACAGAAUCUACUUCAGCUUCUUUGUCCCUCUCCAUCCCCCUCUAUUCUCCCAGAUCAUACUACUCUCUCUAAAAUAAAUAAAAUCUUUAAAAAAUAACAAUGCUCACAAAUAUGCAGGUUUAAACACAUCCUAUGAUGAUUUUGAUGAACAACAAGGUAAAGCAGAUUUUUUUAUUUUUUUUCCAACAGAGAGCAGAA
This is a long non-coding RNA of Mustela erminea (ermine), 2166 nucleotides long. RefSeq lists it as uncharacterized. The record is from RefSeq and is a predicted model, not a curated record. NCBI's taxonomy places the organism in Eukaryota, Metazoa, Chordata, Mammalia, Carnivora, Mustelidae. The transcript is spliced from 5 exons.